RNAcentral lists this ribosomal RNA (734 nucleotides) under uncultured Acidobacteriota bacterium. RNAcentral's name for it is "bacterial SSU rRNA". It matches the Rfam family "Bacterial small subunit ribosomal RNA", at positions 61 to 827 of the family's 1533-position model. Lineage: Bacteria; Pseudomonadati; Acidobacteriota. The record is from RNAcentral.
GUCGCACGAGAAAGGGGAGCAAUCCCUGAGUAAAGUGGCGCACGGGUGAGUAACACGUGAAUGAUCUACCUCCGAGUGGGGAAUAACUGAGAGAAAUCUUAGCUAAUACCGCAUAACACUUACGAGUCAAAGCAGCAAUGCGCUUGGAGAGGAGUUCGCGGCCGAUUAGUUAGUUGGCGGGGUAAUGGCCCACCAAGACGAUGAUCGGUAUCCGGCCUGAGAGGGCGCACGGACACACUGGAACUGAAACACGGUCCAGACUCCUACGGGAGGCAGCAGUGGGGAAUUUUGCGCAAUGGGGGAAACCCUGACGCAGCAACGCCGCGUGGAGGAUGAAAUCCCUUGGGAUGUAAACUCCUUUCGAUGGGGAAGAUUAUGACGGUACCCAUAGAAGAAGCCCCGGCUAACUUCGUGCCAGCAGCCGCGGUAAUACGAGGGGGGCAAGCGUUGUUCGGAAUUAUUGGGCGUAAAGGGUGCGUAGGCGGUUUGACAAGUCUGAUGUGAAAUCUAUGGGCUCAACCCAUAGUCUGCAUCGGAAACUGUCGGGCUUGAGUAUGGGAGAGGUGAGUGGAAUUUCCGGUGUAGCGGUGAAAUGCGUAGAUAUCGGAAGGAACACCUGUGGCGAAAGCGGCUCACUGGACCAUUACUGACGCUGAGGCACGAAAGCUAGGGGAGCAAACAGGAUUAGAUACCCUGGUAGUCCUAGCCCUAAACGAUGAUUGCUUGAUGUGGCA